This 1243-nucleotide ribosomal RNA is filed under the name uncultured eukaryote. RNAcentral's name for it is "bacterial SSU rRNA". It matches the Rfam family "Eukaryotic small subunit ribosomal RNA", at positions 576 to 1828 of the family's 1831-position model. The record is from RNAcentral.
UCGGUAAUUCCAGCUCCAAUAGCGUAUAUUACUGCUGUUGCAGUUAAAAUGUUCGUAGUCGCGGUUCACAGCGUUGCCGGGGUUGUAGACUUGUUUUACACCUUGGCUUCAGUGAUUUGGAGAGGUUCGGAAAGUCGCAGCAAUGCUUCGUUCCAACUUCUCUCUCAUAAAACUUCGAGGAAAUGGGGGGGCUCAAGCCAGGCGGUACGCUCGCGCGCUGCAUGGCCCAUUCAGCGUGGUACUUUCGGAGCAGGGGAGCACCUAGGACUAGUUUCUGGGAGCUUCGACUGCUUACCGCAAAGGAAUGGACGAAGACAUCCGUAUUGAACAGCAAGAGGUGAAAUUCUGGGAUUUGUUCAAGACGAGCAAAGGCGAAGGCAUUUGUCCAUGACUUUUUCCCUUGAUAAAGAGCGAAGGUUGGGGGAUUCAAGAUGAUCAGAUACCGUCGUAGUCCCAACGGUAAACUAUGCCAGCACUGUGUCUCGGUACUUCCAUAAUAUAGGAACUAUCGGGGCUUGUGGAGAAAUCGUUAGCGAUCGGGUUCUGGGGGAAGUAUGGUCGCAAGAUCGAAACUUAAAGGAAUUGACGGAAGGGCACCACCAGGAGUGGAGCUUGCGGCUUAAUUUGACUCAACGCGGGGAAACUUACCAGCGCCAGACAACGUUGUGAUUGACAAGCGGGAGGCUUUUCUUGAUUCGUUGGGUGGUGGUGCAUGGCCGUUCCGAGUUGGUGGAUUGAUUUGUCAGGUUGAUUCCGACGACGAACGAGAUCCAAGCUUUCUAGUUCAGGGCGCCCUAAUUUGCUGGGUUCCUCCAUGGUUAGAAGGACGGUGUUGGCUUACAACAAUGAAGGGUUGGGCGAUAACAGGUCUGUGAUGCCCUUCGAUACGCUGGGCUGCACGCGUGCUACAUUGCCAUUUGCAAAGGGGUUGGGGUCUCGUAGCCGAGAUCUUUUCCCGAAUAAGCUUUUAUUUGUGUGCCAAGUUAGGUCAGAUCCUUGCAAUUUUGGAUCUUCAAUGAGGAAUUCCUCGUAGGCGUCAGCGGAUCAUCUGUCGUCGAUUACGUCCCUGCCCUUUGUACACACCGCCCGUCGCUCCUACCGAUUGGGUUGUCCGGCAAAUGCGAAUGACGGACUGGCUACGAACUCGCGUUUACAGUUUGGUUCGAAUUUUGUGUAAGCCAUACUUCCUAGAGGAAGGAGAAGUCGUAACAAGGUUUCCGUAGGUGAACCUGCAGAAGGAUCA